This 2724-nucleotide long non-coding RNA is filed under the name Daphnia pulex (common water flea). Its description in RNAcentral is "uncharacterized LOC124209740, transcript variant X3". Lineage: Eukaryota; Metazoa; Arthropoda; Branchiopoda; Diplostraca; Daphniidae. The record is from RNAcentral.
GUACUGUUUAGCCCUAAACACCAGACUUCCUUGCAGACUACUCAAGUGAAAAAUCAAAACAUUGUGUUUUUUUCUAUACAAGUUGUGACAGUUGUAGUUUUCGGUAAAGGGAGAAUUCAUUAUCAAAGGAAUCAUUAUUACUCUCUAGUUAUUUAUUGCGUUUUGAAGAUUGAUUCAAACUUGUAGCGAUUUUCGGAUAUACACAUGUAAUUGUGAGAACACAGAGAACAAAGGAGAACGAGACAUUAAACAUGUUUUGUACGCUUUCCUGAUGAAAAGUUUUAGAAUUCCACCAGUUUACGACGUUAAUUCAAUGGGAGAUCAGAGUGGAUACUACUACUGUAAGUUGUGUGUGAGAGGAUUCAGUUAUGUUGCAACUGGAAGAUCAAGUUAAAACGCAAUGCCCAAGCCAAUGCUGGCAACAGCUUGGCACAUUUGGUUUACCAAGGAAUCAUGAACACACUUACCAUAAUAAAGCAAAUGGGGAUCCGCAAAUGGGACCACAUGGAUGUUCAGGUAACACAAUCAUCAGCGCAAGACAUUCAGAGAACAAAUGGAAAUUCCCACCACAAGUUUAGCUUCCUUCAAUCCUGGAGGGUACUCUGUUGAAAACAAUAAAGCUAAACUACAUCCAUUUUUAGCAGAACAUAGAAUCAAAACAGAUUAUGUGUACCAAUCUUAUGGGCCUGAUCUGAUGAAAAGAGUUUUUUCGACGAACAGCAUUUUGUCUUUCGUGCAGAGAAAUACAUGCUCGCUAACGAGCUUGUACAAAAGUGCUGGCUUCUAAAGCUUGCGCCCUUUCGAUCGUCAAAACAAUUAUUCCAAACGGAAUUUGUCGAACCGGCUGGGUCUCGAGUUAGUGUUAGAAAAAAAAAAAAAAAAAAAAUCUAGACACCAGACCUUUCCCCGUCAUUGUUCGCGGUGAAUUAGAGAUGGAGUUAAAUCGCACUGUUCUGGAAGAUCGUCUAUUACCUAUUAAAGUAGUACUGAAACAGGAUUUAUCAGAGCCGCAAACUCUGUAGGAUGGGUGACUUGCACCAAAAUCCAUGCACCUUAAUGAAAUUGAUUCCUGUCGUGGGUCAACUCAAGUGACAUUCCGUGGUCUUCUCCUACUGCCAAUUGACCAACAUGGACCGCUAGUAGAAUCGAACGAGGACGUUUCGCUACGACUUCAUUGGAUACAAUUUGUCAAACCUUGUGGUAGAGACAAGAGCGUAUUUUACAAUCAGAUCGCAGUUUUCUAAAGGCACUAGAGGAGCGCAAAUCUUUACCUAUUUAUGCCUUCCAGAAUGCUGUUAUGGAUGCUGUUUACUGUAAUUCCGUUGUCGUAUUCGUGGUAAUACGGGUUCUGGCAAAACAAUUCUGAUUAUUGUUGAUGAGGUUCACGAACGCAAUACAAAUUCUGAUUUCCUACUCAUUAUGCUGCGUGAUUUGGUGACCCUGCACCCUGAACUUCGCAUCAUUUUGAUGUCAGCAACUAUUGAUACUUCGCUUUUCAGUCGCUACUUUGGCAAUUGCCCAGUAGUCGAUAUUCCUGGCAGAGUUCACCCCGUGAAAUUAUUACUUGAAGGAUUGUGUUGGAGAUGCUUCGAUUUCGACCAAGACAAUAUACAAAGAAAACAUUUAUACGCAAAGAUGUUGAUGGCGAAGAGAACAUGAAUUUGAAGGUGAUGGGGAAAUACUCCUUUAGCUAUGGCUCUUCUCGAUGAGAAAGAUAUAUGUUUAGAGUUGGUGGAAGAAUUACUUACUCACAUCAAUCAAAUGAAAGUUCUUGGCGCAGUGCUUAUUUUCUUACCCGGAUGGAUCACUAUUUUCGCAUUGCUUCAACUUUUGCAACAAAGUUGAUAUGCUAGCGAUUAUCUACUCCUACCGUUGGACUCCAUGUUGCCACGAGAAAAUCAGUGACGUGUUUUUUAGCCUGCUCCCGAGCGCAAAAUGAUCAAGGUCAUUUUGGCGACGAACAUCGCGGAAUCUUCCAUAACCGAUGAUGAUGUCUUUGUCAUCGAUUCGUGUCUCGCAAAUGUCAAGCUUUUUACGUCACACAACAAAUAUGCACAACUACGCUACUGUUUGGGCAGCUCAGGACAAUUUAGAACAACGUCGGGGUCGUGCCGGCCGCGUCCGUCCGGGAUAUGCCUUUCGAUUGUGCAGCCGCCGUCGCUACCAACAUUUGAUUACCGAAUACCCGAACUCGCCUGCCUGUCAGAAUUCUAAACGUCCUUCAGACGGAAGAUAUGACAGCGAGUUCAAAUUUGGUCGUUACGAAACUCGUGUUGUAUCUCAUCGGCCUUCCCUAUCAAUCAAAACUUUUCGUCAUGGAGAAACGAAUCGGUGAGCAAUGACUCGAUUGGACCUUUUUCCAGCGGUCAACGAGGAGUGAACGGCAACUGGUGCAGAACUUUAGAGUACGAACGAAAACAAGAUGGCUAUCCUACUAAUGUAGGAUGAAAAGGCGCAAUCAGAGCACUGCAGUUCACAUCAAUCAAGCAUGCCCAGUUCCCAACGCUGAUGGAUUGAGUCUUGUAAGUUGUAAUGGUAUAUCAAAGUACUCACUUCGGAAACAGUUUGUCUGUUUGAAUUCGUAUACGUGGAUCUCUUUAAAAUAAGACAAAAUCUAUUGUACUAUUCCAAUGCUUCGUAUGAUAUUUACGCAAGACUUAAAUUAAAAUUGUGUGCAUAUAUGUUUGAAGAAUCCUCUUACUUAAAUACAACGUCAAAUAACAA